CAUUCACUCCUCAGCACCAUGAGGCCCCUUUCCUGGGGAGUGUGAAAGAGCCUGGCCUCCCUUGUUGGUAGAGCUACAGCCACUGGUGUCAAGGUGCUCAGGGGUCUGAGGCCCCUGGGACUCUGUGUGUCUUAGUGAAGGCUCUGCCCAUACUCCAUGCAACAUUCUCUGUCACUCUGGAGGUCCCAGGAAGGGAAGAGUAUCAGGGGAGAUCUCCUAUGCGCUGGUUUGCAAAGAUAAAACUGGAUGUGCGAGUUCGAAGGUCUACAUUUUGCAAUAGGAGAUAAUGCUGUUUAAAUCAAUUAUGAUAAAGUUCAGGUGGAACAUUAAUGUAAACAAAUCUUCAGUUUGGCAGCCAACAGAAGAUAUGAUUCUUUCAAGACAAAAGGAG
This 391-nucleotide long non-coding RNA is filed under the name Papio anubis (olive baboon). RNAcentral's name for it is "lncRNA (ENSPANG00000041215.1)". Lineage: Eukaryota; Metazoa; Chordata; Mammalia; Primates; Cercopithecidae. The record is from RNAcentral.